AGAGGCAGAGGCAGGAGAAUCACUUGAACCCGGGAGGUGGAGUUUGCCGCAGAGAUCAAGACACUGCACGCCAGCCUGGGCAACUCAGCCUCCUGAGUGGCUGGGAUUACAGGCACCCGCCAUCGUGCCCGGCUAAUUUUUGUAUUUUUAUAGAGACAGGGUUUUAAUAUGUUGGCCAAGCUGAUCUUGAACUCCUCAUCUCAGGUGAUCCGCCCUCCUCAGCCUCCUAAAUUGCUGGGAUUACAGUCAUGAACCACCGCGCCUGGAGAGUUCUCUUUUCUUUGGGUAGGGCAAGGCAAACUGGAAUGGAUUCACCGGAGAGCUGUGCGCAUGCCCUGGAAAGCAUUCUGGUUAGACCCAUGUGAGACAGGAUGGAAGAUCAGUGGAGCCUUCUUUCUGCCAUCUUGCUUUACCCUCACACCCAAGAAUCAGAAUGCAGAACUUUUAAUCAGAAAAGCAUUCAGAACUCAGGAAGGACAUGGAAGACAUCCUGGUUCUCCACGUUUAACAUUGGACUGUUUCUUCAACUUAGGUGCAUAGCACUGACACUAAUCAGGGAUUAUCACCGAUAAUUUGACUUGGACUAUGGAGUUCAUUCAAAUACUUUAUCUAGACAAUUUAAGUACUGGCUUAUUUGUCAUGAAAAUCUGACAAAGUAAUUUCUUGGUAUUCAGUUGAUUUUUACUCUGUUUGGGUUAGCAGUUUAUAAACCAGUCAGUCUCUUCAUUAAAGUUCUGGGAAUUCUUACUCGUUCAAAUGAUAUGAUUCUAAAGUUCUCAAAAAUCUGUAUUCUAGAAUUCUUCUCAGGACCUUUUCCCUCCUUUCAUGAAACUCCUUAAAGAUACAGUAUUCUAUAAUUUUGCAAGCUUGUACAGUUUUCAGAAACUGCCUCAGAAUUAAGCAAUUUACAGUGGAAAUGUUUUUAAAUUGUCAUAGACACAAUUGACAAGAAAAUUUUAUUAUUUACAGGCGUGAGCCACCACACCCAGCCUCUGAAGUUAAUUUAAUAAAAUUUUAUGAAUAAAUUUAUCAAAUGUGUCAUCUUUUAAUCCCAGAUCUUUGUGAACCUAUGCUUUGCAUUUCCCCCAGCUUUCUAUAUUUACCUAGUUUUAUCUAUUUUUUACUUGUACAAUUUGAAACCUUUAAGUAACUUCAAACAAAAAAAAAUUAAAACAUAUGUUUACG
RNAcentral lists this long non-coding RNA (1185 nucleotides) under Homo sapiens (human). Its description in RNAcentral is "HSALNT0187708". Lineage: Eukaryota; Metazoa; Chordata; Mammalia; Primates; Hominidae. The record is from RNAcentral.